GAUGAACGCUAGCGGCAGGCUUAAUACAUGCAAGUCGAGGGGGCAGCAAUGUCACCGGCGGACGGGUGCGUAACGCGUAUGAAACCUACCUUUAUCAGGGGGAUAGCCCGGGGAAACCCGGAUUAAUACCGCAUAAUAUAAGGAACGGCAUCGUUUUUUAUUGAAAGAUUUAUUGGAUAGAGAUGGUCAUGCGUAGGAUUAGCUAGUUGGUAAGGUAACGGCUUACCAAGGCGACGAUCCUUAGGGGCUCUGAGAGGAGUAACCCCCACACUGGCACUGAGAUACGGGCCAGACUCCUACGGGAGGCAGCAGUAGGGAAUAUUGGGCAAUGGGCGAGAGCCUGACCCAGCCAUGCCGCGUGCAGGAAGACGGCCCUCUGGGUUGUAAACUGCUUUUGAAUGGGAAGAACGGUAAGCCUGCGGGCUUAAUUGACGGUACCAUUAGAAUAAGCCACGGCUAACUACGUGCCAGCAGCCGCCGUAACAC
RNAcentral lists this ribosomal RNA (486 nucleotides) under uncultured bacterium. RNAcentral's name for it is "bacterial SSU rRNA". It matches the Rfam family "Bacterial small subunit ribosomal RNA", at positions 28 to 526 of the family's 1533-position model. The record is from RNAcentral.